GAAAUGCCUCCAUGAGAUCCAACUUUAAGGCAUUUUCUCAAUUAGUGAUCAAUGGGGGGAGGGCCAAGCCCAUGGUGGGUGUGGCCAUCCCUGGGCUGGUGGUCCUG
This 107-nucleotide microRNA precursor is filed under the name Mesocricetus auratus (golden hamster). Its description in RNAcentral is "miRNA (ENSMAUG00000001662.1)". The record is from RNAcentral. Lineage: Eukaryota; Metazoa; Chordata; Mammalia; Rodentia; Cricetidae.